GGAUUGUGGCUCAGUGGUAGAGUGUUUGCCUUGCACAUGUGAGACCCUGCGUUCGAUUUUCAGCACCA
This 68-nucleotide transfer RNA is filed under the name Marmota monax (woodchuck). RNAcentral's name for it is "tRNA.Ala". Lineage: Eukaryota; Metazoa; Chordata; Mammalia; Rodentia; Sciuridae. The record is from RNAcentral.